This 368-nucleotide ribosomal RNA is filed under the name uncultured organism. RNAcentral describes it as "bacterial SSU rRNA". It matches the Rfam family "Bacterial small subunit ribosomal RNA", at positions 527 to 896 of the family's 1533-position model. The record is from RNAcentral.
GAAGGGUGCUAGCGUUGUUCGGAAUCACUGGGCGUAAAGCGCGCGUAGGCGGCUUUUCAAGUCAGGGGUGAAAUCCCACAGCUCAACUGUGGAACUGCCUUUGAAACUGUAAAGCUAGAGUGUCGGAGGGGAUAGCGGAAUUGCUAAUGUAGAGGUGAAAUUCGUAGAUAUUAGCAGGAACACCGGUGGCGAAGGCGGCUAUCUGGACGACAACUGACGCUGAGGCGCGAAAGCGUGGGGAUCAAACAGGAUUAGAUACCCUGGUAGUCCACGCUGUAAACGAUGGAUGCUAGCCGUUCGGGGGUUACCCCUGAGUGGCGCAGCUAACGCGUUAAGCAUCCCGCCUGGGGAGUACGGUCGCAAGAUUA